AAUGAACGCUGGCGGCGUGGUUAAGACAUGCAAGUCGAACGGUUUUUCAGAUAUAGCAAUAUAUUUGAGAGACAGUGGCGAACGGGUGCGUAACACGUGAACAAUCUACCUUCGAAUGGGGAAUAGCUCGCCGAAAGGCGAAUUAAUACCGCAUAUGGUUGGCCCUCUCCUGAGGGCUAUACCAAAGUCAGGGACCGUAAGGCCUGACGUUCAAAGAGGAGUUCGCGGCCUACAGCUAGUUGGCGAGGUAACGGCUCACCAAGG
Molecule: ribosomal RNA, 264 nt
Filed under: uncultured bacterium
Lineage: Bacteria
Description: partial 16S ribosomal RNA
Rfam family: Bacterial small subunit ribosomal RNA
Source: RNAcentral